UGGGGAAUAUUGCGCUAAUGCGCGAAAGCGUGACGCAGCGACGCCGCGUGCGGGAUGAAGGCCCUCGGGUCGUAAACCGCUUUCGCCAGGGACGAAGCGAGAGUGACGGUACCUGGAGAAGAAGUCCCGGCUAACUACGUGCCAGCAGCCGCGGUAACACGUAGGGGACGAGCGUUGUCCGGAUUCAUUGGGCGUAAAGCGCGCGUAGGCGGCCCGGAAAGUCGGAUGUGAAAACCUGGGGCUCAACCCCAGGCGUGCACCCGAUACUCCCGGGCUGGAGGCAGGUAGGGGAGAUCGGAAUUCCUGGUGUAGCGGUGAAAUGCGCAGAUAUCAGGAGGAACACCGGUGGCGAAGGCGGAUCUCUGGGCCUUGCCUGACGCUGAGGCGCGAAAGCUAGGGGAGCGAACAGGAUUAGAUACCCUGGUAGUCCUAGCCGUAAACGUUGGGUGCUAGGUGUGGGCGGAUAUCGACCCCGUCCGUGCCGAAGCUAACGCAUUAAGCA
RNAcentral lists this ribosomal RNA (502 nucleotides) under uncultured bacterium. Its description in RNAcentral is "bacterial SSU rRNA". It matches the Rfam family "Bacterial small subunit ribosomal RNA", at positions 355 to 866 of the family's 1533-position model. The record is from RNAcentral.